This 425-nucleotide ribosomal RNA is filed under the name uncultured bacterium. Its description in RNAcentral is "partial 16S ribosomal RNA". It matches the Rfam family "Bacterial small subunit ribosomal RNA", at positions 354 to 796 of the family's 1533-position model. The record is from RNAcentral.
GUGGGGAAUCUUAGACAAUGGGCGCAAGCCUGAUCUAGCCAUGCCGCGUGAGCGAUGAAGGCCUUAGGGUUGUAAAGCUCUUUCAGCUGGGAAGAUAAUGACGGUACCAGCAGAAGAAGCCCCGGCUAACUCCGUGCCAGCAGCCGCGGUAAUACGGAGGGGGCUAGCGUUGUUCGGAAUUACUGGGCGUAAAGCGCACGUAGGCGGAUCAGAAAGUCAGAGGUGAAAUCCCAGGGCUCAACCUUGGAACUGCCUUUGAAACUCCUGAUCUUGAGGUCGAGAGAGGUGAGUGGAAUUCCGAGUGUAGAGGUGAAAUUCGUAGAUAUUCGGAGGAACACCAGUGGCGAAGGCGGCUCACUGGCUCGAUACUGACGCUGAGGUGCGAAAGCUAGGGCAGCGAACGGGAUUAGAUACCCCUGUAGUCC